UACAGAGGGUGCAAGCGUUAAUCGGAAUUACUGGGCGUAAAGGGUGCGUAGGUGGUAAUGUAAGUUAGGUGUGAAAGUCCCGGGCUCAACCUGGGGAUUGCGCUUAAUACUGCGUCACUAGAGUACUGUAGAGGGAAGUGGAAUUUCCGGUGUAGCGGUGAAAUGCGUAGAUAUCGGAAGGAACACCAGUGGCGAAGGCGACUUCCUGGACAGAUACUGACACUGAGGCACGAAAGCAUGGGGAGCAAACAGG
RNAcentral lists this ribosomal RNA (253 nucleotides) under uncultured bacterium. Its description in RNAcentral is "partial 16S ribosomal RNA". It matches the Rfam family "Bacterial small subunit ribosomal RNA", at positions 524 to 776 of the family's 1533-position model. The record is from RNAcentral.